GACGAACGCUGGCGGCGCGCUUAACACAUGCAAGUCGAACGGAAAGGCCUGCUUUCCCUUGUGGAUUGCGGGUACUCGAGUGGCGAACGGGUGAGUAACACGUGAGUGAUCUGCCCCCAACUUGGGUAUAAGCCUGGGAAACUGGGUCUAAUUCCCGAUAGGACUGCAGGGUGGUGCCUGUGGUGGAAAACGAUUUUCUAGUGGUUGGGGAUGAGCUCGCGGCCUAUCAGCUUGUUGGUGGGGUAAUGGCCUACCAAGGCGGCGACGGGUAGCCGGCCUGAGAGGGUGGACGGCCAGAUUGGGACUGAGAUACGGCCCAGGCGCCUACGGGAGGCAGCAGUGGGGAAUAUUGCACAAUGGGCGGAAGCCUGAUGCAGCGACGCCGCGUGGGGGAUGACGGCCUUCGGGUUGUAAACUCCUUUCGACCGCGAGGAAGCCACCUGGUUGGAAGGGUGGUGACGGUAGUGGUAGAAGAAGCACCGGCUAACUACGUG
This 494-nucleotide ribosomal RNA is filed under the name uncultured bacterium. RNAcentral describes it as "partial 16S ribosomal RNA". It matches the Rfam family "Bacterial small subunit ribosomal RNA", at positions 28 to 507 of the family's 1533-position model. The record is from RNAcentral.